Labrus bergylta (ballan wrasse) is the source of this 465-nucleotide non-coding RNA. The record is from the annotation of a RefSeq genome assembly. Lineage: Eukaryota; Metazoa; Chordata; Actinopteri; Labriformes; Labridae.
AUGAUGGACUAUAGGACAGGACUGCUGCUUUUUACUGUCUGCUGGGCAGGUGUUGAUGGUCAGACUCUGACAGAAUCUGAAGCAGUGGUUAAAAGGCCUGGAGAAUCCCACAGACUGACCUGUUCAGCCUCUGGGUUCACAUUCAGCAGCUACGCUAUGAACUGGGUCAGACAGGCUCCUGGAAAAGGACUGGAGUGGAUUGCUUAUAUUAGUAGCAGUGGUGGUAGCCAAUACUACUCUAAUUCAGUCAAAAGCCGGUUCACCAUCUCCAGAGACAACAGCAGACAGCAGGUGUAUCUGCAGAUGAACAGUCUGAAGACUGAAGAUUCUGCUGUUUAUUAUUGUGCCAGAGACCACAGUGACACAGGAGGAAGUUUCGCUGUACAAAAACUUAGCGUGUCAAACAGUACUCUCUCUGUGGUUUUUAUUUAUAGAAUAAACUUCACUUUGAUGUGAAAAAAAUAA